CCUACGGGGGGCAGCAGUAGGGAAUCUUCCGCAAUGGACGAAAGUCUGACGGAGCAACGCCGCGUGAGCGAAGAAGGUCUUCGGGUCGUAAAGCUCUGUUGUUAGGGAAGAACAAGUACCGGAGUAACUGCCGGUACCGUGACGGUACCUAACCAGAAAGCCACGGCUAACUACGUGCCAGCAGGCGCGGUAAUACGUAGGGUGCAAGCGUUGUCCGGCAUUAUUGGGGGAAAAGCGCACGCAGGCGGUUCCUUAAGUCUGGUGGGAAAGCCCACGGAGCAACCGUGGAGGGUCUGUGGAAGCUGGAGAACUUGAGUGAAGAAGAGGAGAGGGGAAUUCCACGGGUGGCGGUGAAAGGCGUAGAGAUGUGAGGGAACACCAGUGGCGAAGGCGGCUCUCUGGUCUGUAACUGACGCUGAGGCGCGAAAGCGUGGGGAGCGAGCAAGAUUAGGUGCCCUAGUAGUC
RNAcentral lists this ribosomal RNA (465 nucleotides) under uncultured bacterium. RNAcentral describes it as "bacterial SSU rRNA". It matches the Rfam family "Bacterial small subunit ribosomal RNA", at positions 338 to 795 of the family's 1533-position model. The record is from RNAcentral.